GUGGCUCAGCCGUAGAGCAUGGCGCUUGCAACGCCAAGGGUCGUGGAUUCAAUUCCAUC
Molecule: transfer RNA, 59 nt
Filed under: Salmo salar (Atlantic salmon)
Lineage: Eukaryota; Metazoa; Chordata; Actinopteri; Salmoniformes; Salmonidae
Rfam family: tRNA
About the family: Transfer RNA (tRNA) molecules are approximately 80 nucleotides in length. Their secondary structure includes four short double-helical elements and three loops (D, anti-codon, and T loops). Further hydrogen bonds mediate the characteristic L-shaped molecular structure. tRNAs have two regions of fundamental functional importance: the anti-codon, which is responsible for specific mRNA codon recognition, and the 3' end, to which the tRNAs corresponding amino acid is attached (by aminoacyl-tRNA synthetases). tRNAs cope with the degeneracy of the genetic code in two manners: having more than one tRNA (with a specific anti-codon) for a particular amino acid; and 'wobble' base-pairing, i.e. permitting non-standard base-pairing at the 3rd anti-codon position.
Source: Rfam by way of RNAcentral